Molecule: ribosomal RNA, 706 nt
Filed under: Bacillus sp. HPC1413
Lineage: Bacteria; Bacillati; Bacillota; Bacilli; Caryophanales; Bacillaceae
Description: bacterial SSU rRNA
Rfam family: Bacterial small subunit ribosomal RNA
Source: RNAcentral
GUCGUACGCUGGCGGCGUGCCUUUACAUGCAUGUCGAGCGGACAGAUGGGAGCUUGCUCCCUGAUGUUAGCGGCGGACGGGUGAGUAACACGUGGGUAACCUGCCUGUAAGACUGGGAUAACUCCGGGAAACCGGGGCUAAUACCGGAUGCUUGAUUGAACCGCAUGGUUCAAUUAUAAAAGGUGGCUUUUAGCUACCACUUACAGAUGGACCCGCGGCGCAUUAGCUAGUUGGUGAGGUAACGGCUCACCAAGGCGACGAUGCGUAGCCGACCUGAGAGGGUGAUCGGCCACACUGGGACUGAGACACGGCCCAGACUCCUACGGGAGGCAGCAGUAGGGAAUCUUCCGCAAUGGACGAAAGUCUGACGGAGCAACGCCGCGUGAGUGAUGAAGGUUUUCGGAUCGUAAAACUCUGUUGUUAGGGAAGAACAAGUACCGUUCGAAUAGGGCGGUACCUUGACGGUACCUAACCAGAAAGCCACGGCUAACUACGUGCCAGCAGCCGCGGUAAUACGUAGGUGGCAAGCGUUGUCCGGAAUUAUUGGGCGUAAAGCGCGCGCAGGCGGUUUCUUAAGUCUGAUGUGAAAGCCCCCGGCUCACCGGGGAGGGUCAUUGGAAACUGGGGAACUUGAGUGCAAAAAGGAGAGUGCAUUCCACGUGUAGCGGUGAAAUGCUAAAGUGGGAAGAACCCCCUUGCCGAGGCA